This is a long non-coding RNA of Pygocentrus nattereri (red-bellied piranha), 783 nucleotides long. The record is from Ensembl. Lineage: Eukaryota; Metazoa; Chordata; Actinopteri; Characiformes; Serrasalmidae.
UGGCUUAAUAUAUGGAAAUAAUGAUUUUCUUUAAAUUUAAUAACUCACUGUUUUGAAAUUGCAGGUCAAAACUUUGAGAAAGAUCAAGAAAGUCAAUACAACGGACAAUAUCCUUCACCUGUUCAAAGAAGACCGUGACCUCUGGCUAAGCACAGAAGGCCACGGUACGCAGAGAAAGCAUGCAUGCAGCCCAGAAACCGAGGAGAUUCGGGCCUUGGCUUUGAAGAUUAGCAUGACAGACCAAAGGCAGCCAUCGAGGCCGGUCUUUCCAUUUCAGAAUCAAAGCCACUCUGCCACAAUGAUAGGAGCGUGCUGUUAGUAACUGCUCGCAGAGAGGCUAUCCGGAAGCUUUGGUAUGGCUCUCUUGUUGCCUGCAUGUCUGUCUCCAGUGUGGGAGAUAUUUGUGUUGGUUUGGGCUCCAAACAUUGCGUAGGAAAGUGAUUCACAGACAAAGCACAGGACAUCUCGGCCUCCUCACUGGCAACUAGAAAAGCAGCCCUGCUGAGUGAGACUUGCCGUAAUGGCUUUUGUUUCCAUGUCCGUGCUACAGCAUGUCAGGGCUAUUUCUGGCCCAGCCGUCCUCUGCAGGGGCUCGACACGUUUGGCCAGCGCAGGAGGAGGAGGGGGCAGAGCGCAGACACUGCCAGCAUGAGAACGCCUGAUAAAAUGCUUGGAGGAAGUCAGCGCUGUUUAUCUGAGCCCUGGCAUGGCUGCUCUGGCCGUUGAAAUAUGUAGCAUGGCAAAUAGCCGCAAAUAGUUGCGAGCUCUGCGGCGUGCUAUCUU